CCUACGGGAGGCAGCAGUGAGGAAUAUUGGUCAAUGGACGAGAGUCUGAACCAGCCAAGUAGCGUGAAGGAUGACUGCCCUAUGGGUUGUAAACUUCUUUUAUAUGGGAAUAAAAUGUUCCACGUGUGGGAUUUUGUAUGUACCAUAUGAAUAAGGAUCGGCUAACUCCGUGCCAGCAGCCGCGGUAAUACGGAGGAUCCGAGCGUUAUCCGGAUUUAUUGGGUUUAAAGGGAGCGUAGGUGGAUUGUUAAGUCAGUUGUGAAAGUUUGCGGCUCAACCGUAAGAUUGCAGUUGAAACUGGCAGUCUUGAGUACAGUAGAGGUGAGCGGAAUUCGUGGUGUAGCGGUGAAAUGCUUAGAUAUCACGAAGAACUCCGAUUGCGAAGGCAGUUCACUGGACUGCAACUGACACUGAGGCUCGAAAGUGUGGGUAUCAAACAGGAUUAGAUACCCCUGUAGUC
RNAcentral lists this ribosomal RNA (460 nucleotides) under uncultured bacterium. RNAcentral's name for it is "partial 16S ribosomal RNA". It matches the Rfam family "Bacterial small subunit ribosomal RNA", at positions 338 to 795 of the family's 1533-position model. The record is from RNAcentral.